CCUACGGGAGGCAGCAGUAAGGAAUAUUGGUCAAUGGACGCAAGUCUGAACCAGCCAUGCCGCGUGCAGGAUGAAGGCCCUCUGGGUUGUAAACUGCUUUUAUAGGGGACGAAAAAGGGACUUUCUAGUUCAACUGACGGUACCCUAGGAAUAAGCACCGGCUAACUCCGUGCCAGCAGCCGCGGUAAUACGGAGGGUGCAAGCGUUAUCCGGAUUUACUGGGUUUAAAGGGUGCGUAGGUGGGUCGGUAAGUCAGCGGUGAAAUCUUCAAGCUUAACUUGGAAACUGCCAUUGAUACUAUCGAUCUUGAAUCAUCUGGAGGUAAGCGGAAUAUGUCAUGUAGCGGUGAAAUGCUUAGAUAUGACAUAGAACACCAAUUGCGAAGGCAGCUUACUACGGAUGUAUUGACACUGAGGCACGAAAGCGUGGGGAUCAAACAGGAUUAGAUACCCUGGUAGUCCACGCCCUAAACGAUGGAUACUCGACAUACGUGAUAUACUAUGUGUGUCUGAGCGAAAGCAUUAAGUAUCCCACCUGGGAAGUACGAUCGCAAGAUUGAAACUCAAAGGAAAUUGACGG
RNAcentral lists this ribosomal RNA (579 nucleotides) under uncultured bacterium. RNAcentral's name for it is "bacterial SSU rRNA". It matches the Rfam family "Bacterial small subunit ribosomal RNA", at positions 338 to 916 of the family's 1533-position model. The record is from RNAcentral.